UACGUAGGGUGCAAGCGUUGUCCGGAAUUAUUGAGCGUAAAGAGCUCGUAGGCGGUCUGUCGCGUCGGCUGUGAAAACUGGAGGCUCAACCUCCGGCCUGCAGUGGGUACGGGCAGACUAGAGUGCGGUAGGGGAGAUUGGAAUUCCUGGUGUAGCGGUGGAAUGCGCAGAUAUCAGGAGGAACACCGAUGGCGAAGGCAGAUCUCUGGGACCGUAACUGACGCUGAGGAGCGAAAGCAUGGGGAGCGAACAGG
Molecule: ribosomal RNA, 254 nt
Filed under: uncultured bacterium
Lineage: Bacteria
Description: partial 16S ribosomal RNA
Rfam family: Bacterial small subunit ribosomal RNA
Source: RNAcentral